GAAAAAUUCAGAUGAAAAGUCGGGUGGAGGUCCAUGUUGCGAAGGGCUCGAUCGAGGAAUAACCUCUCUUUAGUUGAGGUUUUCAGGUAUCGUAUCCGGGAAAUGUGCGAUAAGAGCGGCAUGAAGAUGAAAAUAAAGAAAUCACAUUGGUGGAAAGCCUUGCCGAAGUGUCUCUAUUACAGCAUUCCGGAAACAAAGGUAUCAUAAUUUCAAGAUCAAAGCUCCACGUGGAACACCGCUUGUUAUUCAAAGUGAAGAUGACAACACGUAUGACUCGCAUGCACUGGCUUGUCUUCUUCCACGAGAAAUGGAACGCAUUCCAGAGGCUCUACGAGAAGUCCAGAUUUUCAGCAAAUCGCAGAGAAAGACAUACACUUUAGGAGAUGUCAAAGGGCAGCAGAUCG
Pocillopora verrucosa is the source of this 404-nucleotide non-coding RNA. The record is from RefSeq and is a predicted model, not a curated record. Lineage: Eukaryota; Metazoa; Cnidaria; Anthozoa; Scleractinia; Pocilloporidae.